RNAcentral lists this unclassified non-coding RNA (348 nucleotides) under soil metagenome. RNAcentral describes it as "partial contains 5.8S ribosomal RNA, internal transcribed spacer 2, and large subunit ribosomal RNA". The stretch from base 1 to 120 matches the Rfam family "5.8S ribosomal RNA", at positions 35 to 154 of the family's 154-position model. The record is from RNAcentral.
GAUGAAGAACGCAGCAAAAUGCGAUAAGUAAUGUGAAUUGCAGAAUUCAGUGAAUCAUCGAAUCUUUGAACGCACAUUGCGCCCGCUGGUAUUCCGGCGGGCAUGCCUGUUCGAGCGUCAUUUCAACCCUCAAGCCCCCGGGUUUGGUGUUGGGGAUCGGCUCUGCCCUUCUGGGCGGUGCCGCCCCCGAAAUACAUUGGCGGUCUCGCUGCAGCCUCCAUUGCGUAGUAGCUAACACCUCGCAACUGGAACGCGGCGCGGCCAUGCCGUAAAACCCCAACUUCUGAAUGUUGACCUCGGAUCAGGUAGGAAUACCCGCUGAACUUAAGCAUAUCAAUAAGCGGACGA